AUACGUAGGUGACAAGCGUUAUCCGGAUUUACUGGGCGUAAAGGGCGUGUAGGCGGUCUUGCAAGUCAGAAGUGAAAUUCCUGAGCUCAACUCGGGCGCUGCUUCUGAAACUGCAGGACUUGAGUGCUGGAGGGGAUAGCGGAAUUCCUAGUGGAGCGGUAAAAUGCGCAGAUAUUAGGAAGAACACCGGUGGCGAAGGCGGCUAUCUGGACAGUAACUGACGCUGAGGCGCGAAAGCGUGGGGAGCAAACAGGAUUAGAUACCCUGGUAGUCCACGCAGUAAACGAUGAUGGCUAACCGCUGGUUUUUUCGGAUCAGUGGCCAAGCGAAAGCGAUAAGCCAUCCACCUGGGGAGUACGACCGCAAGGUUGAAACUCAAAUGAAUUGACGGGG
Molecule: ribosomal RNA, 393 nt
Filed under: uncultured bacterium
Lineage: Bacteria
Description: partial 16S ribosomal RNA
Rfam family: Bacterial small subunit ribosomal RNA
Source: RNAcentral